GGAUGUAGCGUAGUUUGGUAGCGCAUCUGCUUUGGGAGCAGAGGGUCACAGGUUCAAAUCCUGUCAUCC
This 69-nucleotide transfer RNA is filed under the name Chattonella subsalsa. It matches the Rfam family "tRNA". From Rfam's summary of the family: Transfer RNA (tRNA) molecules are approximately 80 nucleotides in length. Lineage: Eukaryota; Raphidophyceae; Chattonellales; Chattonellaceae. The record is from RNAcentral.